UCAUUUUUUACUGGAAAUGCUUAGUUUGGAUGUCAAUUUACAACCACAAUCCUUUGUCUUGAAACUUAGUUUUUAAUGGCAUUGAGUAUAUCCUGGUGCUUAAAAAAUUAAUUUAUGGCUACUACUUCAUGAAGUGUAAUUUGACCUAUCAAUUUUUGAAGAUAAGGUAAUUUGGUAUUGUAUGGAUUUAUAUCAGUUUGUGUGUGAUUUUUCUAACCCAACCUAAUCUACCAAGAUGAUAGCAU
Molecule: long non-coding RNA, 245 nt
Filed under: Cinara cedri
Lineage: Eukaryota; Metazoa; Arthropoda; Insecta; Hemiptera; Aphididae
Source: RNAcentral